RNAcentral lists this ribosomal RNA (282 nucleotides) under Triticum aestivum (bread wheat). RNAcentral describes it as "partial small subunit ribosomal RNA". Lineage: Eukaryota; Viridiplantae; Streptophyta; Magnoliopsida; Poales; Poaceae. The record is from RNAcentral.
AUGAACAGAGCCGGCAGGCUCGCCCUCGUCAAGUCGGUCCUCUGCGCGAUCCCGGUGCACCAGCUGCUUGCUUUUGCCCCCACGAAGAAAACUCUGCGGCAGCUCGAGAAGAUUCAACGGGGAUUUUUUAUGGGCUGGGCGAGCCACCGCCAAUGGUGGUCACUGCCAUGUGAACUGGCGCCUCGUCUCCCGCCCCCUCGAGCUUGGGGGCCUCGGGGUCCGCGACCUCGAGCGCACCGGGCUUGCGCUCAGACUGCGGUGGCUUUGGCUCUCGCGAACUGA